CAGCGGGGGUUAAACCCGCCCGGGAACUGGUUCGCUCCACCCGGUAGCAAUCAGAGCAGCGGUGGAGGCAACGAGACUGCUGAAGCCUCUGGUGCAGAGAGUCGCUAGGCGACUUGGCGAGCGUGUAGGCCGUAACGUGA
This is a non-coding RNA of Acidobacteria bacterium 13_2_20CM_2_57_6, 140 nucleotides long. The record is from Rfam. Lineage: Bacteria; Pseudomonadati; Acidobacteriota.